This 99-nucleotide ribosomal RNA is filed under the name Gammaproteobacteria bacterium. The record is from RNAcentral. Lineage: Bacteria; Pseudomonadati; Pseudomonadota; Gammaproteobacteria.
GAGCUGGUACCACCCGAUCCCUUCCCGAACUCGGUCGUGAAACAGCUUAGCGCCGAUGAUAGUGUGAGUUUCUCAUGUUAAAGUAGGUCAUUGCCAAAG